This 466-nucleotide ribosomal RNA is filed under the name uncultured Klebsiella sp. Its description in RNAcentral is "bacterial SSU rRNA". It matches the Rfam family "Bacterial small subunit ribosomal RNA", at positions 338 to 795 of the family's 1533-position model. Lineage: Bacteria; Pseudomonadati; Pseudomonadota; Gammaproteobacteria; Enterobacterales; Enterobacteriaceae. The record is from RNAcentral.
CCUACGGGUGGCUGCAGUGGGGAAUUUUGGACAAUGGGCGCAAGCCUGAUGCAGCCAUGCCGCGUGUGUGAAGAAGGCCUUCGGGUUGUAAAGCACUUUCAGCGGGGAGGAAGGCGGUGAGGUUAAUAACCUCAUCGAUUGACGUUACCCGCAGAAGAAGCACCGGCUAACUCCGUGCCAGCAGCCGCGGUGAAUACGGAGGGUGCAAGCGUUAAUCGGAAUUACUGGGCGUAAAGCGCACGCAGGCGGUCUGUCAAGUCGGAUGUGAAAUCCCCGGGCUCAACCUGGGAACUGCAUUCGAAACUGGCAGGCUAGAGUCUUGUAGAGGGGGGUAGAAUUCCAGGUGUAGCGGUGAAAUGCGUAGAGAUCUGGAGGAAUACCGGUGGCGAAGGCGGCCCCCUGGACAAAGACUGACGCUCAGGUGCGAAAGCGUGGGGAGCAAACAGGAUUAGAUACCCUAGUAGUC